GCACUAGUKUGGGGACAUUYCACGGUUUCCGCGCCGCAGUAACGCAUUAAGCUCCCCGCCUGGGGAGUACGGCCGCAAGGCUAAAACUCAAAGGAWUUGACGGGGGCCCGCACAAGCGGCGGAGCAUGCGGAUUAAUUCGAUGCAACGCGAAGAACCUUACCAAGGCUUGACAUGUUCACGAUCGCCGUAGAGAUACGGUUUCCCCUUUGGGGCGGGUUCACAGGUGGUGCAUGGUUGUCGUCAGCUCGUGUCGUGAGAUGUUGGGUUAAGUCCCGCAACGAGCGCAACCCUCGUUCCAUGUUGCCAGCACGUAAUGGUGGGGACUCAUGGGAGACUGCCGGGGUCAACUCGGAGGAAGGUGAGGACGACGUCAAAUCAUCAUGCCCCUUAUGUCUUGGGCUUCACGCAUGCUACAAUGGCCGGUACAAUGGGUUGCGAUACUGUGAGGUGGAGCUAAUCCCAAAAAGCCGGUCUCAGUUCGGAUUGGGGUCUGCAACUCGACCCCAUGAAGUCGGAGUCGCUAGUAAUCGCAGAUCAGCAACGCUGCGGUGAAUACGUUCCCGGGCCUUGUACACACCGCCCGUCAAGUCACGAAAGUCGGUAACACCCGAAGCCGGUGGCCUAACCYUAWUGGGGAGCCKCCGCAAGGWGGGAWCWCCGACCAAYAGUC
Molecule: ribosomal RNA, 671 nt
Filed under: Micrococcus sp.
Lineage: Bacteria; Bacillati; Actinomycetota; Actinomycetes; Micrococcales; Micrococcaceae
Description: bacterial SSU rRNA
Source: RNAcentral